Molecule: ribosomal RNA, 253 nt
Filed under: uncultured bacterium
Lineage: Bacteria
Description: partial 16S ribosomal RNA
Rfam family: Bacterial small subunit ribosomal RNA
Source: RNAcentral
GACGAACCGUCCAACCGUUAUUCGGAAUCACUGGGCUUAAAGGGUGCGUAGGCGGCGCGGAAAGUUGGGUGUGAAAUCCCUCGGCUUAACCGAGGAACUGCGCCCAAAACUUCCGUGCUCGAGGGAGAUAGAGGUGAGCGGAACUUAGGGUGGAGCGGUGAAAUGCGUUGAUAUCCUAAGGAACACCGGUGGCGAAAGCGGCUCACUGGAUCUCUUCUGACGCUGAGGCACGAAAGCUAGGGUAGCGAACGGG